Molecule: ribosomal RNA, 253 nt
Filed under: uncultured bacterium
Lineage: Bacteria
Description: partial 16S ribosomal RNA
Rfam family: Bacterial small subunit ribosomal RNA
Source: RNAcentral
UACGGAGGGGGCUAGCGUUGUUCGGAAUUACUGGGCGUAAAGCGCACGUAGGCGGCUUUGUAAGUUAGAGGUGAAAGCCCGGGGCUCAACCCCGGAAUUGCCUUUAAGACUGCAUCGCUUGAACGUCGGAGAGGUGAGUGGAAUUCCGAGUGUAGAGGUGAAAUUCGUAGAUAUUCGGAAGAACACCAGUGGCGAAGGCGACUCGCUGGACAGACAUUGACGCUGAGGCGCGAAAGCCAGGGGAGCAAACGGG